UGGCGGACGGGUGAGUAACGCGUGGGUAACCUGCCCUGUACAGGGGGAGUAACAGCUGGAAACGGCUGCUAAUACCGCAUAAGCGCACGAGGAGACAUCUCCUUGUGUGAAAAACUCCGGUGGUACAGGAUGGGCCCGCGUCUGAUUAGCUGGUUGGCAGGGUAACGGCCUACCAAGGCGACGAUCAGUAGCCGGCUUGAGAGAGUGAACGGCCACAUUGGGACUGAGACACGGCCCAAACUCCUACGGGAGGCAGCAUG
RNAcentral lists this ribosomal RNA (260 nucleotides) under uncultured bacterium. RNAcentral describes it as "partial 16S ribosomal RNA". It matches the Rfam family "Bacterial small subunit ribosomal RNA", at positions 96 to 353 of the family's 1533-position model. The record is from RNAcentral.